UACGGGGGGGGCAAGCGUUGUUCGGAAUUACUGGGCGUAAAGGGCUCGUAGGUGGCCAACUAAGUCAGACGUGAAAUCCCUCAGCUUAACUGGGGAACUGCGUCUGAUACUGGAUGGCUUGAGUUUGGGAGAGGGAUGCGGAAUUCCAGGUGUAGCGGUGAAAUUCGUAGAUAUUGGCUGGAACACCGGUGGCGAAAGCGGCUCUCUGGCCCGGUUCUGACGCUGAGGCGCGAAAGCGUGGGGAGCAAACAGG
Molecule: ribosomal RNA, 253 nt
Filed under: uncultured bacterium
Lineage: Bacteria
Description: partial 16S ribosomal RNA
Rfam family: Bacterial small subunit ribosomal RNA
Source: RNAcentral